RNAcentral lists this ribosomal RNA (631 nucleotides) under uncultured bacterium. RNAcentral's name for it is "bacterial SSU rRNA". The stretch from base 1 to 535 matches the Rfam family "Bacterial small subunit ribosomal RNA", at positions 338 to 873 of the family's 1533-position model. The record is from RNAcentral.
CCUACGGGAGGCAGCAGUAAGGAAUAUUGGUCAAUGGAGGCAACUCUGAACCAGCCAUGCCGCGUGCAGGAAGAAGGCCCUAUGGGUCGUAAACUGCUUUUGUACCAGAGAAAACCCGAGUACGUGUACUCGGUUGAUAGUAUGGUAAGAAUAAGCAUCGGCUAACUUCGUGCCAGCAGCCGCGGUAAGACGAAGGAUGCAAGCGUUAUCCGGAUUCAUUGGGUUUAAAGGGUGCGUAGGCGGACUGAUAAGUCAGUGGUGAAAUCUCUCAGCUUAACUGAGAAACUGCCAUUGAUACUGUUAGUCUAGAGUAUAGAUGACGUUGGCGGAAUAUGACAUGUAGUGGUGAAAUACUUAGAUAUGUCAUAGAACACCGAUUGCGAAGGCAGCUAACGAAACUAUAACUGACGCUGAGGCACGAAAGUGNGGAGUACAACAGAUAGUAUACCUACGUAGUCGCACGUAACGAUANAUACUCGUUGUUGUNAUAUGUACGUCGAGCGACCGAACGACGAAAGACGAGUAAGUAAGUACCUACCGUUACGGGAGGUACGGCCGGCCGACGGUUACGGAACGUUAAAGGUAAGUUAGACGGCGNGAGACGAGCGACGGACGACGACGAGGGAGGAGG